Bombus terrestris (buff-tailed bumblebee) is the source of this 791-nucleotide long non-coding RNA. RefSeq lists it as uncharacterized. Lineage: Eukaryota; Metazoa; Arthropoda; Insecta; Hymenoptera; Apidae. The transcript is spliced from 2 exons. The record is from RefSeq and is a predicted model, not a curated record.
GGCAGGCAGGCAGGCAGGCAGGCAGGCAGGCAGGCAGGCAGGCAGGCAGGCAGACGGACAGAUGGAUCGACAUACAGACAAGAGUUUAUUUAUAACAAAUGAAACAAAGACAUUUUUCAAAAUAUUGCAAAUUUCCAGUGUUUCAAGCAUUGAAGCAUGAAAAUUAAAGUACUCUUUACAUGCUGCAAGAGAUCUCAUUCGGGAAGUAAAAAUAGAAUCGUGGGCUGAUUCGGCAAGCUUGCUUGGUUUGAACAAGUUGCAGUGUAAAUCCAAAUAGCAACGAACACGGUGGUUUUUGGAGCGUCUGAUCGUAAUUUUAAAUAAUAUCUAUCAAGAGUGAAUUUGUCGAAGUUGCGAAAUACAUUAUCGAUAAUAUUAUUUCUAUAUAUAAAACAUAUUCAAAUGUAUUGCAAUGAAAUUUGUAAUGACACGUCAAAUUAUGCUCUCGGUGGUGAUCAGUAGAAUACGAAUAAACGAGCGUAAAACAGCGUAACAAAAUUAAUUGUAAGCCAAACGAGAGAUAUCUCAAUAAAUAAGGGCUGAAAGAAUCGACGUGGUGAUAAUUUUUUAUGGAUGAGGGAAAAGUGUAUGUGUACCUUCUCGCACAGAGAUUUUACUUGGCUUUCUGUUAGUUGUUGGCAGUUAUUUAAUUGUUCUAUCCACUGAUCGAGUUCCUUCAACGACGCCUUUUCCUCCAUCGUACAAAUCUACGUAUGAAGUCUACGGAUAGCCCGCACUCUUAGCACAUGUAAUAAAAGUAAAGCGAGUCCGUCCCGUAAACUAAAUCAUUC